Long non-coding RNA from Ipomoea triloba (trilobed morning glory), 508 nucleotides. RefSeq lists it as uncharacterized. Lineage: Eukaryota; Viridiplantae; Streptophyta; Magnoliopsida; Solanales; Convolvulaceae. The record is from RefSeq and is a predicted model, not a curated record. The transcript is spliced from 2 exons.
AUUACAUAACAACAUUAUUAUUAUUGCAAAUUCGUAUACAGAAAUGGCAAAAUCCUACACCAUAUUUGUUGCUUUUCUUUUCUGCUUCCUCAUAGCGACACCCACCGAGAGUAAAGUAGGUGAAGAAAAGGUGUGCGGAACGCUAAGCAAAACGUACCCCGGUUGGUGUGAUGGUGGCGAGUGUGAUCUCCGUUGCCGGACUAUUGAAGGCGCCGUUUCCGGCUCAUGUCACUGGCAUGACUUUGGAAUGGCUUGCUUCUGCUAUUUCAAUUGCUGAUCACCACUUCUGAUCUAUAUAUGCAUGCGUCAAUAUAAUGUCACUCAUCAUCAUCUCAUCUGCAAUAAUAACAAUAAUAAUCCCUCAAAGUAUGACCGAAUAAUACUGCAUGCUGCCUACCCAAUUACAUUGUAUUACAAUCAAUUCUCUGCUGCCUAAUUAUUGUAUUACAAUGAAUUGUACUUUGCAGAAAAAAAUAAAAUAAUAUAAUAAUCCCUCAAAGUGUGUCCA